AGUAUCUUUUUAAGGCAUCUUAUUAAGAUUAAAGGUUACGGUAUGAGAUGAGUAUGCGUUCUAUUAGCUAGUAGGUGUGUAACGGCACACCUAGGCUACGAUAGAUAGGGGCCCUGAGAGGGGGAUCCCCCACACUGGUACUGAGACACGGACCAGACUCCUACGGGAGGCAGCAGUUAGGAAUAUUGGACAAUGGGCGAAAGCCUGAUCCAGCCAUGCCGCGUGCAGGAUGACUGCCCUA
Molecule: ribosomal RNA, 241 nt
Filed under: uncultured bacterium
Lineage: Bacteria
Description: partial 16S ribosomal RNA
Rfam family: Bacterial small subunit ribosomal RNA
Source: RNAcentral